GCUUUACAUUCUUUAUUCAAAUUAGGACUUUGAGGUCAGCAUUCUUUUAGGUGUAACACGCACAGAAAAAUCAUACAGCAGAGCAGCAAACAGAAACCCCCCACCCAAAUCUUCAGCAUUGAAGACAUUCUCAACCCCCCAAAUAUAACUGUCCUUUUAAAAAUCGAGGAGAAGCAUGAGGACCGGGUCUGGACUGCAGACGCUCUCAGUUUAAAUAAACAGUCUCGAAGUCACAUUGACAGCAAUCUGUUAGUCCGUCCCAAACAUUCCGCCAGGCACAUUUCUCGAGCGAAUCCUCAGACGGAGGUUGAUGAGGUUGUUUUCUCUCACAUUAUUAGAAGGACCUAUACACAAUCCCAUGCAAUCAUGUAAAAUAUCCUGUCUGGAAGAGCAGCCCACUCAUGCAGCUGCUGCACGUCUGAUAAAGGACCCCUCGGCCCCCUGGUUCCAGCUCAGGAAGGCAGACCCUGUGCCAGCCACAGUCACAGUUUGACCCCGAGACCUGCCCCCAUCCCAGACAGGCCUGGCAGCCUCCGCAACGUCCUCUGCCAGGUCAGAGCCAUCAGAGCGGCCUCCCUGAGCUCAGGUGCUUCCAGACAGACCCCAGGUGAGCUAGGCUGCAUUUUCUUUAUUUUUUUUUUAUUUUAUUUUUUUUGCUAUUUCUUGGCCCGCUCCCGCGGCAUAUGGAGGCANGAAUGUGCCUAGCUGGGUUCCUAAAAUACUUGAUCUAUAGACACUGAAACUUGAAUUUCAUACUAUUGUCAUGUGUCACUAGAACAGGAGUCUUCGUUUGAAUUUUUCCAACUGUUUAACAAUGUAAAAAACAAGCUUAGCUCCCAAGCCCUACGAUAAUAGGCUCUGGCCCGUAGGCUGUAUGUAGAAGCCUCCCUGAGAUACCUAUAGAGCAGCAGUGAAACAGCUCCUCCUUAAAGCUGAGCAUCACGCAACAGACUGACUGUACUAGCCACGUGCUGGAACCUAUGAAAACAAAAGAAAGAUGAAUUACCAACAGGUGACCAAGGUGUAAAGAAGUCAGAUCCUUCCAGAGGCUCAUUGGCCCCUGCCACCCAUGGCCCCAGCCAUCCAUAGCCCCCUUAUCUUGGCAUCCGCAGACAUCGGCAAUGAAUAAAGAAGGCCAACCAGACUGGUUCCCACAGUCCUAGCCUGUGCUGGGUGCCCAUGGGAUUCAGAGCGGGAUUUUCUUGCUGGGCAUGCUUCAUCAGUCAAGGCCCCACUCCCAUCGGUGGCUCCAAGAGGGACAGAAAACCACCUCUCCAUCCCCUCAUCUCGCGGCUUGGAGUCUAGCCAUCCGGAGUCCAGCUUCUCCGACUGCUAAUGGCCCAGAGUCUAGGAGCUACGAUGUGUUUUGCCCACACGAGGGGGCUGGGGGCCAGGACCCGCUGGAGCGGCUCACAGCCAAAGCUUGCUGAUUACUCUGGCAUUUCAAUUCACCAAGCAUCUUAUUUUGCCGGGGAAAGAACGACUUCUACAAAACAGUGUAAAGAACAUUCCAGUCCAUUAUGGGAAGUCUGGCCCUUUCCACAUCAGAGAGGAGGGAUGGAAGAAAGGAAAUUUGAAAAUACUGUUAUUUGACUGUUUUAAAGUUCAGUAGCAGCAUCCACUGAGGAAGACUGCCUGCCUGCCAGGGCCUCCCCAACUGCCCGAAGCUGAAAUAUAAAGUAAGAGACGUGCACGUGGCAUUUACUUUGCAAAGGACAUUUGUACGCAAGCCCAUGAGUCUGGGCGAACAUUUCCCAGAUCCUGGUUAAAAGAAAAGAACAGUCUGCUAAGGCCCGCAGUCCACGCCUUCCCGGGGCGCGAUGCGGCGGCAGGGUCUGACCUCUCCCUGAGACCCCAGGGGUCUCCCACAAGGUACAGGGGCUGAAACACACAGUCCACGGUUAAAAACAAAUCCUAAGGGUUUGCAGCCUCGCGCAGAAAUCCGGAGCCUUCGCGAAGGCAGCCACUGGACACCCGGCGGUUGUCUUCCUUUUCCGACGCGGGCGGGAACUCCAGGGGCCUGAGCGACGGGAAAGUGGCCGAGGCUCCGUGCUUGCUGCCAGGAUCUGUCUGGGUGCGAGCUUGCGGUGAGCGGCUCCCUCUAUCCCGGGGCUCAGAGCGUCGCAGCCGCAGCCGCCUGUUGCUGUCCCUGCAAGCGCCGCGGGGCCGAGCGCCGCGGGCUCAGAGCGCAUCAGCGGGGCGCACGUAGCGCAGCGUGUAGUUGGCCCCCGCAUUGUUGUCCCAGUACUCGCCCUGGGCGCAGCGGUAGCACACGGCGAAGUGGACGGCGACGCCCGGCGCGUCCGCGUCCUCCCCCUCCUUGGGCAGCAGGCCCGGGGGCAGGCACAGCGCGAAGUGGAAGCGUUCGGCGCCGGGCUCGUCCUCGGCGUCCCCGGGCCCCCCCGACGUCGCCAACGGCGGAGGCUCCCCCGGCUCCGGCCUC
RNAcentral lists this long non-coding RNA (2443 nucleotides) under Sus scrofa (pig). Its description in RNAcentral is "lncRNA (ENSSSCG00040072794.1)". Lineage: Eukaryota; Metazoa; Chordata; Mammalia; Artiodactyla; Suidae. The record is from RNAcentral.